RNAcentral lists this ribosomal RNA (437 nucleotides) under uncultured bacterium. RNAcentral's name for it is "bacterial SSU rRNA". It matches the Rfam family "Bacterial small subunit ribosomal RNA", at positions 958 to 1392 of the family's 1533-position model. The record is from RNAcentral.
AACGCGAAGAACCUUACCAGCCCUUGACAUCCCGGUCGCGGGAACGAGAGAUCGAUCCCUUCAGUUCGGCUGGACCGGAGACAGGUGCUGCAUGGCUGUCGUCAGCUCGUGUCGUGAGAUGUUGGGUUAAGUCCCGCAACGAGCGCAACCCUCGCCCUUAGUUGCCAUCAUUUAGUUGGGCACUCUAAGGGGACUGCCGGUGAUAAGCCGCGAGGAAGGUGGGGAUGACGUCAAGUCCUCAUGGCCCUUACGGGCUGGGCUACACACGUGCUACAAUGGCGGUGACAGUGGGAUGCAAUGGGGUAACCCUGCGCAAAUCUCAAAAAGCCGUCUCAGUUCGGAUUGUGCUCUGCAACUCGAGCACAUGAAGUCGGAAUCGCUAGUAAUCGCAGGUCAGCACGCUGCGGUGAAUACGUUCCCGGGUCUUGUACACACCG